AGUGAACGCUGGCGGUAGGCCUAACACAUGCAAGUCGAACGGCAGCACAGUAAGAGCUUGCUCUUACGGGUGGCGAGUGGCGGACGGGUGAGGAAUACAUCGGAAUCUACUUUUUCGUGGGGGAUAACGUAGGGAAACUUACGCUAAUACCGCAUACGACCUACGGGUGAAAGCAGGGGAUCUUCGGACCUUGCGCGAUUGAAUGAGCCGAUGUCGGAUUAGCUAGUUGGCGGGGUAAAGGCCCACCAAGGCGACGAUCCGUAGCUGGUCUGAGAGGAUGAUCAGCCAUACUGGAACUGAGACACGGUCCAGACUCCUACGGGAGGCAGCAGUGGGGAAUAUUGGACAAUGGGCGCAAGCCUGAUCCGGCCAUACCGCGUGGGUGAAGAAGGCCUUCGGGUUGUAAAGCCCUUUUGUUGGGAAAGAAAAGCAGCAGGUUAAUACCCCGCUGUUCUGACGGUACCCAAAGAAUAAGCACCGGCUAACUUCGUG
Molecule: ribosomal RNA, 492 nt
Filed under: uncultured bacterium
Lineage: Bacteria
Description: partial 16S ribosomal RNA
Rfam family: Bacterial small subunit ribosomal RNA
Source: RNAcentral